GACGAACGCUGGCGGCGUGCUUAACACAUGCGAGUCGAACGGAAAGGCCCUGCUUUUGUGGGGUGCUCGAGUGGCGAACGGGUGAGUAACACGUGAGUAACCUGCCCUUGACUUUGGGAUAACUUCAGGAAACUGGGGCUAAUACCGGAUAGGAGCUCCUGCUGCAUGGUGGGGGUUGGAAAGUUUCGGCGGUUGGGGAUGGACUCGCGGCUUAUCAGCUUGUUGGUGGGGUAGUGGCUUACCAAGGCUUUGACGGGUAGCCGGCCUGAGAGGGUGACCGGCCACAUUGGGACUGAGAUACGGCCCAGACUCCUACGGGAGGCAGCAGUGGGGAAUAUUGCACAAUGGGCGGAAGCCUGAUGCAGCAACGCCGCGGGCGGGAUGACGGCCUGCGGGUUGUAAACCGCUUUCGCCUGUGACGAAGCGUGAGUGACGGUAAUGGGUAAAGAAGCACCGGCUAACUACGUG
This 468-nucleotide ribosomal RNA is filed under the name uncultured bacterium. Its description in RNAcentral is "partial 16S ribosomal RNA". It matches the Rfam family "Bacterial small subunit ribosomal RNA", at positions 28 to 507 of the family's 1533-position model. The record is from RNAcentral.